ACCCUGAUCAGCCAUGCCGCGUGAGUGAUGAAGGCCCUAGGGUCGUAAAGCUUCGCCUGUGAAGAUAAUGACGGUAGCAGGUAAAGAAACCCCGGCUAACUCCGUGCCAGCAGCCGCGGUAAUACGGAGGGGGUUAGCGUUGUUCGGAAUUACUGGGCGUAAAGCGCACGUAGGCGGAUCGGAAAGUUGGGGGUGAAAUCCCGGGGCUCAACCCCGGAACUGCCUCCAAAACUAUCGGUCUAGAGUUCGAGAGAGGUGAGUGGAAUUCCGAGUGUAGAGGUGAAAUUCGUAGAUAUUCGGAGGAACACCAGUGGCGAAGGCGGCUCACUGGCUCGAUACUGACGCUGAGGUGCGAAAGUGUGGGGAGCAAACAGGAUUAGAUACCCUGGUAGUCCACACCGUAAACGAUGAAUGCCAGUCGUCGGGUAGCAUGCUAUUCGGUGACACACCUAACGGAUUAAGCAUCCGCCUGG
RNAcentral lists this ribosomal RNA (473 nucleotides) under Ruegeria sp. 1S17. RNAcentral describes it as "bacterial SSU rRNA". It matches the Rfam family "Bacterial small subunit ribosomal RNA", at positions 380 to 876 of the family's 1533-position model. The record is from RNAcentral. Lineage: Bacteria; Pseudomonadati; Pseudomonadota; Alphaproteobacteria; Rhodobacterales; Roseobacteraceae.